This 150-nucleotide ribosomal RNA is filed under the name Keratoisis flabellum. RNAcentral describes it as "partial 16S ribosomal RNA". The record is from RNAcentral. Lineage: Eukaryota; Metazoa; Cnidaria; Anthozoa; Scleralcyonacea; Keratoisididae. RNAcentral also lists the same sequence under 7 other names.
UUCUAUCUACAAUGUUCAAUCCCAACUUUUCUGAGUCCUAGUACGCAAGGAAUGGUCUCAGCGAUGCUCGACUAUAUUGGCCCCAUCGACGUAAUCAACUUCUGGCUGCUGCAAAGAAGGAGAGACAAAAGGUUUAGGGAUUAAUAAGGU